RNAcentral lists this ribosomal RNA (898 nucleotides) under uncultured marine archaeon. Its description in RNAcentral is "SSU rRNA". It matches the Rfam family "Archaeal small subunit ribosomal RNA", at positions 455 to 1354 of the family's 1478-position model. The record is from RNAcentral.
GUGCCAGCCGCCGCGGUAAUACCGGCGCCUCAAGUGGUAUUCGCUUUUAUUGGGCCUAAAACGUCCGUAGCCGGUCUGAUACAUUCGUGGGUAAAUCAACCAGCUUAACUGGUUGAAUUCUGCGAGGACGGUCAGACUUGGGACCGGGAGAGGUGUGGGGUACGCUCAUGGUACGGGUAAAAUCCUGUCAUCCUGAGCGGACCACCUGUUGCGAAGGCGCCACCUGGGCUAUUAUCCGACGGUCAGGGACGAAGCCUAGGGGCACGAACCGGAUUAAAUACCCGGAUAGUCCUAGGUGUAAACGCUGUGAACUUGAUGUUGGGGGUGCUCCCAGCACUCUCUCUGUCCAAACGAAUGUGAUAUCUCCCCUGCCUGGUAAGUUCGGUGGCAAGGCUGAAACUUAAAUGAAUUGGCGGGGGAGCACCCCAACCUGAAGAUUGUGCGGUUUAAUUGGAUUCAAUUCCGGAAAACUCACCAUACCUGACCGACAAAUGAAUGUCAAUGUAAUUAAUUUACCGGAUUGUUUGCGAGGUAGUGCAUGGCCGCCGUCAGUUAUACCGCAAGGCGUUCUGUUAAGUCAGAUAACGAACGAGUCCCUCAUCUCUAUUUGCCCUCUGGAUCUCCGGAUCCAGUGCAAUAUAGGGAGACCGCUGGCGUUAAAUCAGAGGAAGGGGAGGGCAACGGUAGGUCAGUCUACUCCGAAUCCUAUGGGGUACACGCGCAAUACAAAGGACAGGGCAAAGGGGAGGUGCUUCGAAAAGAACAAUAGAUAUCCCGAAACCUUUUUAAAGUUGGGAUUGAGGGCUGUAAUUCCCCCUCAGGAAGCUGGAUUAGGUAGUAAUCGCGUUUCAAAAAGGCGCGGUGAAUUUGCCCCUGGUCCUUGCACACACCGCCCGUC